AUUGAACGCUGGCGGCAGGCCUAACACAUGCAAGUCGAACGGUAGCACGAAAAGGCUUGCUUCUUCCCUGACGAGUGUCGCGGGGGUGAGUGAUGUAUGUCGAACUGCCUGAUUGAGGGGGGGAACUAGUGGAAACGGUAACUAUUAUACCAUAUCGUCGCAAGACCAAAGAGCAGGACAUUCUGGCCUCUUGCCAUCGGAUGUGCGCCGAUGGGAUUAGCUUGUUGGUGGGGUAAAGGCUCACCAAGGCGACGAUCCCUAGCUGGUCUGAGAGGAUGACCAGCCACACUGGAACUGAGACACGGUCCAGACUCCUACGGGAGGCAGCAGUGGGGAAUAUUGCACAAUGGGCGCAAGCCUGAUGCAGCCAUGCCGCGUGUAUGAAGAAGGCCUUCGGGUUGUAAAGUACUUUCAGCGGGGAGGAAGGGAGUAAAGUUAAUACCUCUGCUCAUUGACGUUACCCGCAGAAGAAGCACCGGCUAACUCCGUG
RNAcentral lists this ribosomal RNA (490 nucleotides) under uncultured bacterium. Its description in RNAcentral is "partial 16S ribosomal RNA". It matches the Rfam family "Bacterial small subunit ribosomal RNA", at positions 30 to 507 of the family's 1533-position model. The record is from RNAcentral.